Molecule: ribosomal RNA, 597 nt
Filed under: Actinomycetales bacterium HP23
Lineage: Bacteria; Bacillati; Actinomycetota; Actinomycetes; Actinomycetales
Description: bacterial SSU rRNA
Rfam family: Bacterial small subunit ribosomal RNA
Source: RNAcentral
AGUCGAGCGGAAGGCCCUUCGGGGGACACGAGCGGCGAACGGGUGAGUAACACGUGGGUGAUCUGCCUCGCACUUCGGGAUAAGGCUGGGAAACUGGGUCUAAUACCGGAUAUGACCUCUUGUCUGAUGGCUUGGGGUGGAAAGAUUUAUCGGUGCGAGAUGGGCCCGCGGCCUAUCAGCUUGUUGGUGGGGUAAUGGCCUACCAAGGCGACGACGGGUAGCCGGCCUGAGAGGGCGACCGGCCACACUGGGACUGAGACACGGCCCAGACUCCUACGGGAGGCAGCAGUGGGGAAUAUUGCACAAUGGGCGGAAGCCUGAUGCAGCGACGCCGCGUGAGGGAUGACGGCCUUCGGGUUGUAAACCUCUUUCGACUCCGACGAAGCGAGAGUGACGGUAGGGGUAGAAGAAGCACCGGCCAACUACGUGCCAGCAGCCGCGGUAAUACGUAGGGUGCGAGCGUUGUCCGGAAUUACUGGGCGUAAAGAGCUUGUAGGCGGUUUGUCGCGUCGUCUGUGAAAACUCACAGCUCAACUGUGAGCUUGCAGGCGAUACGGGCAGACUUGAGUACUGCAGGGGAGACUGGAAUUCCUGGUG